RNAcentral lists this ribosomal RNA (538 nucleotides) under uncultured bacterium. RNAcentral describes it as "partial 16S ribosomal RNA". It matches the Rfam family "Bacterial small subunit ribosomal RNA", at positions 28 to 523 of the family's 1533-position model. The record is from RNAcentral.
GAUGAACGCUGGCGGUGUGCCUAAUACAUGCAAGUCGUACGCAUUCUCGUUUCUGAUUGACGGUGCUUGCACCUAAUUGACGAGACAUUGGAAUGAGUGGCGGACGGGUGAGUAACACGUGGGUAACCUGCCCAGAAGCGGGGGAUAACAUUUGGAAACAGAUGCUAAUACCGCAUAACCACAGAAACCACAUGGUUUCUGUGUCAAAGAUGGUUUCGGCUAUCACUUUGGGAUGGACCCGCGGCGUAUUAGCUAGUUGGUAAGGUAAUGGCUUACCAAGGAAAUGAUACGUAGCCGGACUGAGAGGUUGAUCGGCCACAUUGGGACUGAGACACGGCCCAAACUCCUACGGGAGGCAGCAGUAGGGAAUCUUCCACAAUGGACGAAAGUCUGAUGGAGCAACGCCGCGUGAGUGAAGAAGGUUUUCGGAUCGUAAAACUCUGUUGUCAGAGAAGAACGUGUGCGAGAGUAACUGUUCGUGCAGUGACGGUAUCUGGCCAGAAAGCCACGGCUAACUACGUGCCAGCCGCCGCAGUAA